Molecule: ribosomal RNA, 253 nt
Filed under: uncultured bacterium
Lineage: Bacteria
Description: partial 16S ribosomal RNA
Rfam family: Bacterial small subunit ribosomal RNA
Source: RNAcentral
UACAGAGGGUGCAAGCGUUAAUCGGAAUUACUGGGCGUAAAGCGUGCGUAGACGGUUAUUUAAGUCAGGUGUGAAAGCCCCGGGCUCAACCUGGGAAUUGCAUUUGAGACUGAAUAGCUAGGGUGCGGAAGAGGGAAGCGGAAUUUCCGGUGUAGCGGUGAAAUGCGUAGAUAUCGGAAGGAACACCAGUGGCGAAGGCGGGUCUCUGGGCCGAUACUGACGCUGAGGAGCGAAAGCGUGGGGAGCGAACAGG